Molecule: long non-coding RNA, 796 nt
Organism: Solea solea (common sole)
Lineage: Eukaryota; Metazoa; Chordata; Actinopteri; Pleuronectiformes; Soleidae
Exons: 2
Source: RefSeq, a predicted model, not a curated record
UGCCGUUGCUCAUGUUAAUUCUUUUUUAUUUACUGUGUGGGUUUCUUAAGACAAUCAUUAAAAAGUUAGUCAUGUGACCGCACAAAAUAUAUAUUAAUUAAUAAUUACAGACAUUAUAUUUUGUGAAGGUCACUGCAGUCUGAACCUGGUGAAUCAAAGAAAGGUUUUUUUGGUAUGAAAUAAAUUGUGUGUUUGUUUGUGGCAACAUGGCAUAGAGUGCCUGCUUAGCAAUGGACAGCAAUUGCUUUGUAUUGCAAACAAAACGUUUGUUGUUCUUCUUCUUUUUCCUAUUCCGCCCCAAAUUUCACUGCAAAACUUAGUGUGCUAUGACUUUUAUAAGCAUUUUGGGUAACCAUGGCAACAACAAUCGCAAAAAACUGAAGAAUUUCACUUGUUCACCUAAAUCAUCAUUUUGGUUCAUAUUAUGGUUUUUAAACAAUCGCAGUUUAAGUUUUGUCCUUUUUUUGGACGAUUUUAUAAUGAGUGUGUAUUGCAUGGCUACAGUGGCACACUUAGCUGAGGAGGAGCAGGAAUCACAAACAUGUGUGUUGUUUUCAUAUGGCUUGAAGUUUUAAAGCUUGAUUCCACAAAAAUACUUCUUUCAGGCCUGGUCCAAGUUCUCUGUGGAAUUUUCUAGUUUAUUUAAUAACUGAUGAAUGCUGAUGGUUUGCUUAGUUAAUUGAUUUGUUAAAUGUGAGAGCAUUAUAAUGAAAAUAAAACUUGAUAGUUUCCUAUAGCCUGGACAAUUCUGCUGGUAUAUUAAAGCUGUAGUGUGUAACUUUUAACGUUUAACUAU